UCCGCGAUAGCUCAACGGUAGAGCAGGUGACUGUUAAUCACUUGGUUCCAGGUUCGAAUCCUGGUCGCGGAG
This 72-nucleotide transfer RNA is filed under the name Patescibacteria group bacterium. RNAcentral's name for it is "tRNA-Asn". It matches the Rfam family "tRNA". Rfam says of the family: Transfer RNA (tRNA) molecules are approximately 80 nucleotides in length. The record is from RNAcentral.